Molecule: long non-coding RNA, 824 nt
Filed under: Musa acuminata (dwarf banana)
Lineage: Eukaryota; Viridiplantae; Streptophyta; Magnoliopsida; Zingiberales; Musaceae
Description: long non-coding RNA (MACU_LNC008612)
Source: RNAcentral
UCUGCCAUUGAUAAGCUCCGAUAUGUUUCCUUUGUUACUGAUAUGCUCCAAUUACUCUGUGCUCCAUUUGUUAUGAACUGAUAUGUUCUGAAAUGUCCUAUCUGCCAUUGAUAUGUUCCAAUUACUCUAUACUCCAUUCGUUACGGAUCAAAUAUGUUUUGAAUGACAUGAUACGUAUGAUUUGGUAUCUAUUGAGAUGGUAUCCUUGAGAAUUCUUGUAUUCUGCCUUGCAUUAUGAUUCCUUACUCGUUUGAAACCGUUCCUUUUGUUCUGAAUAUGCUUUGUCACUUGCUGAGCCGUUUUUAGCUCACUCCGUUGUUAUAUAAAUCUUUCAGGUCAGCUUGUCACUCUUCGAGAUGUUGAUUUGGGCUGAGGCAGUGGAUAGCUAUUCAGAAUUAUGGGCAAGUCUAGGUGGUUAUUAUGAUAUUGUUGUAUAAGUAUGUUUUGUAUGUAAUGAAAUGUUGUCGAUGAACCGAAAUGGAUAUACUGUGUAAAAGUGUUAGAAGAUCUCUCUUAUUUGGAAUUUCGGAAUGUUAAGUCUAAUUUAAGAUGAUAUGAACUUGUGGUGAAUAGUUGGAGUUCUGAUUGUAUAAUUUAUUUAGCUUGUGGAUUUAUAAAUGUUGUUCAUGUUUGUCAAGUUGGCUUGGGUUGUCAUAAAUGUGAAUUAUCGAGUGAUGUGAUAUAUAAUUUUAAAAUGCAUAGGUUUUAUGGAUGUGAAUUUGAUUGAAUGUUUUUCAGUGUCCUCAAACGUUAGUUUGGAUCCUGGAUUGGUUUGUGAUGAUGAAAAAUUUUAAAAAUCAUGGAUAUAUUUGAGGGGCGUGACA